GACGAACGUUGGCGGCGUGGAUUAGGCAUGCAAGUCGAACGGUAUCAUCCUUUCGGGGGUGAGAGAGUGGCGAACUGGUGAGUAACACGUAGGUUAUCUACCCUCAAGACGGGGACAACCCAGGGAAACUUGGGCUAAUACCGGAUGUGAGCAACUUUUAGUUGUUUGAAAGGUGGCGUAAGCUGUCGCUUGGGGAUGAGCCUGCGUCCUAUUAGUUAGUUGGUGAGGUAACGGCUCACCUAGGCAAUGAUAGGUAGGCGGCCUUAACGGGUGGUCGCCCACACUGGGAUUGAGAUACGGCCCAGACUCCUACGGGAGGCAGCAGUCGAGAAUAGUCUACAAUGGUCGGAAGACUGAUAGUGCGACGCCGCGUGAACGAUGAAUCCCUUCGGGGUGUAAAGUUCUUUUAUAUGUGAGCAGUGCUUCUUAUAUUAACAGUAUGGGGAGAGAGAUAUUAGCAUAUGAAUAAGCAACGGCUAACUCCGUGCCAGCAGCCGCGGUAAACUCGUCU
RNAcentral lists this ribosomal RNA (511 nucleotides) under uncultured bacterium. RNAcentral describes it as "bacterial SSU rRNA". It matches the Rfam family "Bacterial small subunit ribosomal RNA", at positions 28 to 530 of the family's 1533-position model. The record is from RNAcentral.